This is a non-coding RNA of Daedalea quercina L-15889, 98 nucleotides long. Lineage: Eukaryota; Fungi; Basidiomycota; Agaricomycetes; Polyporales; Fomitopsidaceae. The record is from the annotation of a GenBank genome assembly.
GCCGAGAUAGCUCAGCUGGGAGAGCAGCAGACUGAAGUCGGCGAUGUUACAUCCAAGACGCUUUCUGAAGGUCGGGCGUUCGAUCCGCCCUCUUGGCA